AUUGAACGCUGGCGGCAGGCCUAACACAUGCAAGUCGAACGAGUGGCGGACGGGUGAGUAAUGUCUGGGAAACUGCCCGAUGGAGGGGGAUAACUACUGGAAAAGGUAGCUAAUACCGCAUACCAUCGGAUGUGCCCAGAUGGGAGUAGCUAGUAGGUGGGGUAACGGCUCACCUAGGCGACGAUCCCUAGCUGGGCUGAGAGGAUGACCGACCACACUGGAACUGAGCCCCGGUCCAGCCUCCUACGGGAGGCAGCAGUGGGGAAUAUUGCACAAGGGGCGCAAGCCUGAUGCAGCCAUGCCGCGUGUAUGAAGAAGGCCUUCGGGUUGUAAAGUACUUUCAGCGGGGAGGCGUUACCCGCAGAAUAAGCACCGGCUAACUCCGUGCCAGCAGCCGCGGUAAUUC
This 406-nucleotide ribosomal RNA is filed under the name uncultured bacterium. Its description in RNAcentral is "partial 16S ribosomal RNA". It matches the Rfam family "Bacterial small subunit ribosomal RNA", at positions 30 to 526 of the family's 1533-position model. The record is from RNAcentral.